GAUGAACGCUGGCGGCGUGCCUAAUACAUGCAAGUCGAGCGAACAGACGAGGAGCUUGCUCCUCUGACGUUAGCGGCGGACGGGUGAGUAACACGUGGAUAACCUACCUAUAAGACUGGGAUAACUUCGGGAAACCGGAGCUAAUACCGGAUAAUAUAUUGAACCGCAUGGUUCAAUAGUGAAAGACGGUUUUGCUGUCACUUAUAGAUGGAUCCGCGCCGCAUUAGCUAGUUGGUAAGGUAACGGCUUACCAAGGCAACGAUGCGUAGCCGACCUGAGAGGGUGAUCCGCCAAACUGGAACUUGGGAAAGGGCCAGACUCCUAAGGGAGGGCGCAGUGGGGAAUCUUCCGGAAUUGGCGAAAGCCUGACGGAGCAAAGGCGCGUGAGGGAUGAAGGUCUUCGGAUCGUAAAACUCUGUUAUUAGGGAAGAACAAAUGUGUAAGUAACUAUGCACGUCUUGACGGUACCUAAUCAGAAAGCCACGGCUAACUACGUG
RNAcentral lists this ribosomal RNA (497 nucleotides) under uncultured bacterium. RNAcentral's name for it is "partial 16S ribosomal RNA". It matches the Rfam family "Bacterial small subunit ribosomal RNA", at positions 28 to 507 of the family's 1533-position model. The record is from RNAcentral.